UGCAGUCGAGCGGGGAUUGAUGAAGUGCUUGCACAGAUUCAAUUCUAGCGGCGGACGGGUGAGUAACGCGUGAGCAAUCUGUCCUACACAGGGGGAUAACACUUGGAAACAGGUGCUAAUACCGCAUAAGACCACGGAAGGGCAUCCUUUUGAGGUAAAAGAUUUAUCGGUGUAGGGUGAGCUCGCGUCCCAUUAGCUAGUUGGUGAGGUAACGGCCCACCAAGGCGACGAUGGGUAGCCGACCUGAGAGGGUGAUCGGCCACAUUGGAACUGAGACACGGUCCAGACUCCUACGGGAGGCAGCAGUGGGGAAUAUUGGGCAAUGGGCGCAAGCCUGACCCAGCAACGCCGCGUGAAGGAAGAAGGUUUUCGGAUUGUAAACUUCUGUCCUUGGUGACGAAGAAAGUGACGGUAGCCAAGGAGGAAGCCCCGGCUAACUACGUGCCAGCAGCCGCGGUAGUACGUAGGGGGCAAGCGUUGUCCGGAAUGACUGGGCGUAAAGGGCGUGUAGGCGGCCUGAUAAGUGUGAAGUGAAAGUCCUGCUUUCAAGGUGGGAACUGCUUUGCAAACUGUCGGGCUUGAGUGCGGAAGAGGUAAGUGGAAUUCCCAGUGUAGCGGUGAAAUGCGUAGAGAUUGGGAGGAACACCAGUGGCGAAGGCGACUUACUGGGCCGCAACUGACGCUGAGGCGCGAAAGCGUGGGGAGCGAACAGGAUUAGAUACCCUGGUAGUCCACGCUGUAAACGAUGAAUGCUAGGUGUAGCGGGUAUCGACCCCUGCUGUGCCGCAGUAAACACAAUAAGCAUUCCGCCUGGGGAGUACGGCCGCAAGGUUGAAACUCAAAGGAAUUGACGGGGGCCCGCACAAGCAGCGGAGCAUGUUGUUUAAUUCGAAGCAACGCGAAGAACCUUACCAGGUCUUGACAUCGAUGUAAGCCUGUAGAGAUACAGGGUGCCUUCGGGCAACAGAAGACAGGUGGUGCAUGGUUGUCGUCAGCUCGUGUCGUGAGAUGUUGGGUUAAGUCCCGCAACGAGCGCAAC
Molecule: ribosomal RNA, 1039 nt
Filed under: uncultured bacterium
Lineage: Bacteria
Description: bacterial SSU rRNA
Rfam family: Bacterial small subunit ribosomal RNA
Source: RNAcentral